ACGGGUGAGUAAUACAUCGGAACGUGCCCUGUCGUGGGGGAUAACUAGUCGAAAGAUUAGCUAAUACCGCAUACGACCUGAGGGUGAAAGCGGGGGACCGUAAGGCCUCGCGCGAUAGGAGCGGCCGAUGUCUGAUUAGCUAGUUGGUGGGGUAAAGGCCCACCAAGGCGACGAUCAGUAGCUGGUCUGAGAGGACGAUCAGCCACACUGGGACUGAGACACGGCCCAGACUCCUACGGGAGGCAGCAGUGGGGAAUUUUGGACAAUGGGGGCAACCCUGAUCCAGCAAUGCCGCGUGUGUGAAGAAGGCCUUCGGGUUGUAAAGCACUUUUGUCCGGAAAGAAAUCCCCUGCUCUAAUACAGCGGGGGGAUGACGGUACCGGAAGAAUAAGCACCGGCUAACUACGUGCCAGCAGCCGCGGUAAUACGUAGGGUGCGAGCGUUAAUCGGAAUUACUGGGCGUAAAGCGUGCGCAGGCGGUUUUGUAAGACAGGCGUGAAAUCCCCGAGCUCAACUUGGGAAUGGCGCUUGUGACUGCAAGGCUAGAGUAUGUCAGAGGGGGGGUAGAAUUCCACGU
Molecule: ribosomal RNA, 577 nt
Filed under: uncultured bacterium
Lineage: Bacteria
Description: bacterial SSU rRNA
Rfam family: Bacterial small subunit ribosomal RNA
Source: RNAcentral